Molecule: ribosomal RNA, 351 nt
Filed under: uncultured Desulfobulbus sp.
Lineage: Bacteria; Pseudomonadati; Thermodesulfobacteriota; Desulfobulbia; Desulfobulbales; Desulfobulbaceae
Description: bacterial SSU rRNA
Rfam family: Bacterial small subunit ribosomal RNA
Source: RNAcentral
GGAGACAGGUGCUGCAUGGCUGUCGUCAGCUCGUGUCGUGAGAUGUGGGUUAAGUCCCGCAACGAGCGCAACCCUUGCCUUUAGUUGCCAGCAGUUCGGCUGGGCACUCUAAAGGGACUGCCGGUGUUAAACCGGAGGAAGGUGGGGAUGACGUCAAGUCCUCAUGGCCUUUAUGACCAGGGCUACACACGUACUACAAUGGCCGAUACAAAGGGCAGCGACACUGCGAGGUGAAGCCAAUCCCGUAAAAUCGGUCUCAGUCCGGAUUGGAGUCUGCAACUCGACUCCAUGAAGUUGGAAUCGCUAGUAAUCGUGGAUCAGCAUGCCACGGUGAAUACGUUCCCGGGCCUU